This 253-nucleotide ribosomal RNA is filed under the name uncultured bacterium. RNAcentral describes it as "partial 16S ribosomal RNA". It matches the Rfam family "Bacterial small subunit ribosomal RNA", at positions 524 to 776 of the family's 1533-position model. The record is from RNAcentral.
UACGGAGGGUGCAAGCGUUAAUCGGAAUUACUGGGCGUAAAGGGCACGCAGGUGGCUGAGAAAGUCGGAUGUGAAAGCCCCGGGCUUAACCUGGGAACUGCAUUCGAAACUACUCGGCUAGAGUAUGGGAGAGGGAAGCGGAAUUCCCGGUGUAGCGGUGAAAUGCGUAGAUAUCGGGAGGAACAUCAGUGGCGAAGGCGGCUUCCUGGCCCAAUACUGACACUCAUGUGCGAAAGCGUGGGGAGCAAACAGG